RNAcentral lists this ribosomal RNA (468 nucleotides) under uncultured bacterium. RNAcentral describes it as "partial 16S ribosomal RNA". It matches the Rfam family "Bacterial small subunit ribosomal RNA", at positions 28 to 507 of the family's 1533-position model. The record is from RNAcentral.
GACGAACGCUGGCGGCGUGCUUAACACAUGCAAGUCGAACGGAAAGGCCCUGCUUUUGUGGGGUGCUCGAGUGGCGAACGGGUGAGUAACACGUGAGUAACCUGCCCUUGACUUUGGGAUAACUUCAGGAAACUGGGGCUAAUACCGGAUAGGAGCUCCUGCUGCAUGGUGGGGGUUGGAAAGUUUCGGCGGGUGGGGUUGGACUCGCGGCUUAUGAGCUUGUUGGUGGGGUAGUGGCUUACCAAGGCUUUGACGGGUAGCCGGCCUGAGAGGGUGACCGGCCACAUUGGGACUGAGAUACGGCCCAGACUCCUACGGGAGGCAGCAGUGGGGAAUAUUGCACAAUGGGCGGAAGCCUGAUGCAGCAACGCCGCGUGCGGGAUGACGGCCUUCGGGUUGUAAACCGCUUUCGCCUGUGACGAAGCGUGAGUGACGGUAAUGGGUAAAGAAGCACCGGCUAACUACGUG